GACGAACGUUGGCGGCGUGCUUAAUACAUGCAAGUCAACUGAAGCAGUGGUAGCAAUAUCGCUGUGGAGGUGGCGCACGGGUGAGUAACACGUAGGUAAUCUGCCUUCAGGUCUGGCAUAACUCCGGGAAACCGGGGCUAAUAGCAGAUGAUGCAGCGGCUCGACAUCGAGACAGUUGUUAAAGCUAUGGCGCCUGAAGAUGAGCCUGCGUCUGAUUAGCUAGUUGGCGGGGUAACGGCCCACCAAGGCAACGAUCAGUAGCUGGUCUGAGAGGAUGAUCAGCCACACUGGAACUGAGACACGGUCCAGACUCCUACGGGAGGCAGCAGUAAGGAAGAUUGCUCAAUGGGAGAAAUCCUGAAGCAGCAACGCCGCGUGAGGGACGAAGGGCUUUUGCUUGUAAACCUCUGUAGUGAGAGAAGAAAAUCCCAAUCUUUGGGACAUGAUGGUAUCUCAAAAGUAAGCCCCGGCUAACUACGUG
RNAcentral lists this ribosomal RNA (481 nucleotides) under uncultured bacterium. RNAcentral's name for it is "partial 16S ribosomal RNA". It matches the Rfam family "Bacterial small subunit ribosomal RNA", at positions 28 to 507 of the family's 1533-position model. The record is from RNAcentral.